RNAcentral lists this long non-coding RNA (961 nucleotides) under Marmota monax (woodchuck). The record is from RNAcentral. Lineage: Eukaryota; Metazoa; Chordata; Mammalia; Rodentia; Sciuridae.
GGCAGAGCCAACCCUGGCGUGACGAGUGGAACACAAAGACGGGCAAACGCUGUCAAUCCUCUGCCUCCGCCGUGACUCACACUGAAACACCUUCCUUCUGUGUGGUGCCCUCUGUGUGGUCAGAAGCGCUUUGAAGAGAGGAAAAUCCCAGUGUCUACUCAGCGAGCACCCCUGGAGUCCUCCUGUCAGCCAGGCACUGUCCCAGAUGGGAGGUGCGAGGUGAGAUUAUUCCAGUAAUUCAUACAGCACAGCAGGAAGAGUGGUCACUGAGCUGUGUGGCUAAAGGGGAGGCCCUCUGGGGUCUGGGAGCAUCCAUCGCUCAGGGAGCAUAUAAGGGACAUAACUUCAGGGAAGGCGCUGGCAAAAUAAGGAGCUCUUUGCCCUCUUCUUACCUCCCCUUUGUUCACUCCCGUCCUCCAGUUCCUAGGCUCUGCCCAUUGCCAAGAGCUUGCCCUCAGCUUGCCACUGGGUCCCCCUAAGCGGGUGAAAACACGGAGUAGAAGGAGCUCGGGGUCAAGGGUGGGCAGACCUGGCUUGCAGCUCAUGUACCCAUAAUAUCCCAGUCCAGCCUGGCUCAGAAGACUGCUCCUGGAGCUAGUAGACGGUGCCUGUGGAAGUGUUUUAGAGACGGAAAGCAGGGCCCAGUAGCAACAGGGGUUUGGGCCCAUUUGGGAGCCAUCAUGUCCAGGUGCUGUGCUCGCUCUGUUCCCUGUGCACGGAGCUGCUAAUCCCUACUGCAAGCCUGAGAUGUGGAUCCCUGUCCUUCUUCAGGUGAGGGAGCCGAGUGUGGGAGCAGCUGUGUCAGUGAUGGGCGCCCAGGGGUGGAGAGGAGCUCAGCUCUCCGUGGCUCUUUCACUAUUUUCUAUGCCUUGAAUCCAAGGCAUUGCAACUGCACAGGCUCCCUGCAUGAAUCACGGUGUCUAGUCUAGAGAAAUGUAUUCUCUUUUAAAAUCCAAGAACC